UUCCCAGACCGGGCAUGGGCUUUGUGUUUAUUGAGCGAAAAUAUCUAAAGCUCCAUAAGGCUCCGGCUGCGGGGUGGGGGUGAACCAUGCUGUACUCUUUCACCACAACUUUCUCUUACUCUUUCUACCUGUUUCUGUUGUACCUG
This is a long non-coding RNA of Octopus sinensis (East Asian common octopus), 146 nucleotides long. RefSeq lists it as uncharacterized. NCBI's taxonomy places the organism in Eukaryota, Metazoa, Mollusca, Cephalopoda, Octopoda, Octopodidae. The transcript has 4 exons. The record is from RefSeq and is a predicted model, not a curated record.